This 514-nucleotide ribosomal RNA is filed under the name uncultured bacterium. RNAcentral's name for it is "bacterial SSU rRNA". It matches the Rfam family "Bacterial small subunit ribosomal RNA", at positions 8 to 521 of the family's 1533-position model. The record is from RNAcentral.
AGAGUUUGAUCCUGGCUCAGGAUGAACGCUGGCGGCGUGCUUAACCCAUGCAAGUCGAACGAAGCACUUUACUUGAUUUUUUCGGAAUGAUUGUUCUGUGACUGAGUGGCGGACGGGUGAGUAACGCGUGGGUAACCUGCCUCAUACAGGGGGAUAACAGUUGGAAACGACUGCUAAUACCGCAUAAGCGCACGGUAUCGCAUGAUACAGUGUGAAAAACUCCGGUGGUAUGAGAUGGACCCGCGUCUGAUUAGCUAGUUGGUGGGGUAACGGCCUGCCAAGGCGACGAUCAGUAGCCGACCUGAGAGGGUGACCGGCCACAUUGGGACUGAGACACGGCCCAAACUCCUACGGGAGGCAGCAGUGGGGAAUAUUGCACAAUGGGGGAAACCCUGAUGCAGCGACGCCGCGUGAGCGAUGAAGUAUUUCGGUAUGUAAAGCUCUAUCAGCAGGGAAGAAAAAUGACGGUACCUGACUAAGAAGCACCGGCUAAAUACGUGCCAGCAGCCGCGGU